RNAcentral lists this ribosomal RNA (259 nucleotides) under uncultured bacterium. Its description in RNAcentral is "partial 16S ribosomal RNA". It matches the Rfam family "Bacterial small subunit ribosomal RNA", at positions 524 to 781 of the family's 1533-position model. The record is from RNAcentral.
UACAGAGGGGGCAAGCGUUGUUCGGAAUUACUGGGCGUAAAGGGCGCGUAGGCGGCCUUCUAAGUCGAACGUGAAAUCCCCGGGCUCAACCCGGGAACUGCGUCCGAUACUGGAAGGCUUGAAUCCGGGAGAGGGAGUGCGGAAUUCCAGGUGUAGCGGUGAAAUGCGUUGAUAUCGACAGGAACGCCGGUGGCGAAAGCGGACCGCUGGCCCUCUUCUGACGCUGAGGCGCGAAAGCCAGGGGAGCGAACGGGAUUAG